UUGGAUCUAACAAACAAAACAAAUUCAAAUUCAAAAAUAAUAAUUAAAAUUCAAAUAUUCAAAGUUUGGCAACGUCAUCUUCCUCCUCCCCUUCGCCGGUCAUCUUCCUCCUCCCCUUCGUUACCGCUUCAACACCAUGGACGCCGGCCACAACUGCCAUUAUGACGAAGGUUGAUUUAGUCUAGAAAUUAAAAGGAGAAAAAGAUAAGUUUUAGUGCAGUUGGUAUCCAAAUAUUUAUACAAAGGUAAUCAUUUUAGUUUUUGUGGGUAACCAAGAGAAAUUUCAGUGCAGUUGGUAACCAAAACUUUCAAAAGUAACAAUUUUAAUUUUUGUUGGUUACAUUUGUAUUAAGGUUUGGCUACCAAGAAAAAAAAAUUCUAUAAUAGAUUUUUUAUAAUUAAUUGGUAACCCAAUAAAACUGAAUUGGUUACCUUUGUAUUAAGGUUUGGCUACCAACUGCAUUAUAAAAAAAAAUCUACAAUACAUUUUUUUUAAUUAAUUGGUAUCCCAAUAAAACUGAAUUGAUUACAUUUGUAUAAAGUGUUAGCUACCAACUGCACUAUUAAAUAAAAAAAUCUAUAAUAGAUUUUUUAAAAAUAAAAUAGAAACCUAAUAACACUAAAUUGGUUACCUUGGUAUGAAUGUUUAGCUACCAACUGUACUAUAAAAAAAUGCAACUAUACUAUGAAAAAUCGAUCCAAUGAGCCAACUGUACUAUGAGAAUAUUUCGAGUGAGCCAAGGUGGCGGAGGUUCCGCCAGUGGUCGCCAUACGGGGACUGGGCGAUGGUGGUGUAGUUGUAGCCCAUGUAUUUUUCCAUGGCGAGACGGGGGCGGUUGGCCAAAAUUAUGUCGUUUUUGGUGAAGCAUUCUUCGGCAGCGAAGGCGGAGUACACCACCACCACAAGGCGGGACCCGAAUUGGAGAGAGAAGAUUGGGGCGAACUUGGUGGAGAGCGUGUGUAGGGGUCCGGUGGAGUGGUGAGUCGUUGAGGAGGAGGAGGAGGUGGCCUAGUAGUGGUAGUUUUAGGAGUGGACUUGGCGGUAAACGGCAGCGGAUUUUUGAUUUUGAAAAUAAUCUGGUAGAGAGAAUUAGGAGGAAGAGAGAGAAAGAUGCGUACAAAAGUACCCAUUUUAUUUAAUUUAAUAAGUAAAUUAAUAUUAAUCCCCUAAAUUAAGGAAUCCUAAUUGCAUACUAAUUCCUUAAAUUAAGGAAUCCUAAUUGCACUAAUAUUGUAAAUAAAUAUAAAAGUGUAUUAAUUAUAAAAAUAUUUUAUAAGUGAACUAUUGUUAUAAUUAUUAUUAAAAAUAUAAUAAAAUAUGUAAUUGAUCCUUUUUCUUAGUUACUACUACUACUUCUAAAUUUUAGGCCUUUAGGGUAGCAAAUUAUAGCUUUUGAUAUUCAUACUUUAACCAUUCAUUCAUUCUUUUGAGUGAGUGCCAAAUUUUUGUUUGAUAAACUGGUGCAUACGCCCAUCAUAUCAAGAUGUCUCUCUCUAUACAUCACAAUAAUAUCAAAUCACACUGUAUAUGAGCUCUCAAUUAUUUUACUCCAUAAAUAACUGAAUGUACUGAUAAAUAACUUAAAUCAUUCUUUUAAAAAACACAAGAAAUAUCAUCCAUCAUCUUAAUCUUUUAAAAAGUAUCGUAAUUUAAUUUGAUGAUUGUUUUAAAAUAAUGAUAAUUAGACAAAUGAAUUUUAAACUCAAACCCCACUUCACCACAAUUACAUCUGAUUUGUUCUUUUUUAUUUUUCUUGUUUAGACUCCGACCCCUCCCCCUCGGGUUGGGGCCGGUCCGGUGACCUUAAUAAUUGAUACCGUCCGGUGCAAUGUAUUUUUUUUUUUAACCACAAUUAUGAGAAUAAAAAAUAAAAAAUAAUAGAGCAAAUUUGAACAAAAAAACUGUAAAAGGAAGUAUGUUUUUUAUUGAAAAAAUACCGUAAACAGUUUACAAUAUUUUUCAAUAAAAAAUGUACUUCCUUUUAUAAUUUUUUGUUCAAACUUGCUCUAUUAUUUUUUAUUCUCAUAAUUGUGAUGGUACCGGUCAUUAAGGUGUACCGGACGGCCCACAAUUACUCCCCCUCCCCGUCCUACUCUUAACGCAAAAACAUAAAAUAAUCAAAUUUAAUUUUUUCUAAAAAAGAUAUUAUAAAAUCAAAAAAGAGUAUUUUCAUUUGGGUGAUUACUGCAUUGACCUCUUUUCUAUCUCUACUCUAAGUAAACAGUAGGGCUAAGCAAGUAACUUGCUAAUGGCAUAUUCGCCUAAACCCUCUUCUUAAACCCUAUCACCAUUAGUGCCAACCCCUGAAGUCUGUUGUGUCCUCGUCUUGUACUCUUUAGUCUUUCCUCGACUAGUAAAACGGCUAAGCGUUUUAUUCCUCUGCUGAAUCGGGUCUUGAUUGAGAAAAUAACCCCUCCAUCCAAGACCGCUGCUGGAAUUUUACUCCCAGAGAAGACCGCCAAGGUUAAACUCCCUGAAACCAUCAUCAGUUCCUUCUCCUUUUUUAUAUAAUGCUGUUCUUCUUCUGAACAAUUCCAAACUUUUUCUGGGUAUUGCUUAAAAAGUGUCGAAUGGAAUGUACAUCUUCGUGAUUUGAUGAGAAGACUUGCAUAAAGAAUAAUACUCUAGGCUAAUGGGUCUAUCUUUGGCAUGUCUAAAUUACAUGAUAUGGGUAAGGCUUAAUUUAUAGAUCAGGAUUUAGUUUAGUGUCACCAAUGUAAUGGAGGGUUUUCUGUUUCUUAAAAUGUGCUUGUGUGAUUUUUUUGGGAAUCCCACUUGUUUGUUUUACAUUUAAUUGCCUGAAGUCCGUGUGUGGUUGCCGUGAAACAGUGGGAAGUGAAAAUUAAAAUUUGUACUAUCAUGUUGUGCAAAUGUAUGGUUGAGAGUUUAUAAAGUUUUUAGAUUAUUUGCUUCCCAUGUUACAUUGCAUACCAUAUGGUUGGUAGUAGUGGACUUUCCUUUGGAUGAAUUCUGAUAUGGAAUUUAUAUUUUUUAGAUAAAUAUUGGAUUUUGAUUUGCAUUUGUUAUACAUCUUUGGUUUGGAUCAUUUAGCUGAACUCCGGAAAAGUUUUUGCUGUUGGUCCUGGGCACCAUGACAGCGAGGGAAAGCUCAUUCCUGGUUGUGUGAAGGAGGGGGACACUGUUCUGUUACCUGAAUAUGGAGGAAAAGAAGUAAAGCUCGGUGACAAAGAGUAAGUAUAUUUUUGCUAAAGUGCAUUUUCCUACCAGUUUUGGUCUUUUCUUUAAACUUAUGAUUAUAUGAUUCUCCCCUAUUCGCGUUGCUUCUUCCACCUAAAAAGUUCUAAGACACGCACCCAAAAAAAACAAAGAAAAGAAAAGUAUCAAUAACACCCUGAAAUAUUAAAAGCAUCGCGAAGAUGAGUUAUGUUCUUUAAACCAACUAAAAUAGUUAUGUUUCUUUGAUCCAACUGAAUAUGAAAUUUUAGUUGUUUUAUUAUACCUUUAUUUAACCAAAGAACUAGAAAUUUUGAAGUUGAAUCUUUUCCUGCAUCAACCAAGUUUUAGAACAGUGCUCUUUGUUUCUGUACAUCGGGAUGUGGCCAAAAGCUGACCUUUGAAUCCUAAUAAUAUACACACAGCAUUUCACCAUUGCACCUAUAUGCAAUGCAUAGUUAUUGCCAUGAUUAUUCAUGUCUUAGAUAGUUGAGAGUGAGUGAGAGGUGUCUUAGAAAAUGCUUGUGUUUUUAUGGGAAUUAUGGUGUGUCAACGGGUGUCACCUCCAUUUCACCGUUACAAACACAUAGGAAUUUAAAUUUAGCUAUUACUCGUAUUAACUAAUUCAGAAUCAUAGGAAAGUUAAUGUGCAACUAAGUGUCCUUGCGGAAACCACCAAGUACUACAAGGCCUCGUUUGUGAGCACCAUGUGUCUUUGUCCAAGUUACCCAUUUUGGCUUCGAAAUAUCGAAAAUGUACCCAGCAAGUAUGUGUGACGUCCCAAAAUAGGUAUACAUCACCUAUUCUUAGUCGCCAAAUACAUGGUACAAAAUACAAAUACAAUCUUUAAUAUACAACAAGAAAGCUGUGAGUUUUAAUACAAAUAUUGUCUUCUAGACAAUAUCCACUCUCAGAAUAAGUCCUCAUUACAUUUCUUGUCACACUAUUUAACAGAAUAGUGAGGACUACUAAUACUAUCAUCUGGACCGUCACUCCGUUCCCCGACUAGUCCCGGCUACGUUUUCAUUUCUUGAAGAGAACAGUGAAAGAAAGGGUGAGCUCAACUAGCCCAGUAAAGAAUAUCAUGACUUAAGAUAAUUAAAUUAUUAAAAGAAUUCAGAUAUUUAGAACAUAUGGUAAAAGAUAAAAGUUUUCAACCAUAAUAGCAGCGGAAUCAACAAUCCAUUAGAAGAGUUAAGUAGAACAUAAUGUCUACUAUCUCCUCUAGAUUAAAGGUCCAUCGUUAAUAUUUCAUUCCUGUAAUACUCAUCAACAGUUCUUUGUUAUACCUAAGACAAAGAGAACUCUCAUCACCUGUCUUCACCUGAACCACCACAAAUUAUAAUUAAAUUCACAAUUCGUAUUUAUAUAAUCAGAUAAAUCAACAGUUCAUACAACUGUAAAACCAAUAACCAACAGUCCAUCUUUGCACUACAGGCCAAAGAUAUACAACUGUAAAACCAAUAAUGCUGAGACUCAGCUUAAUAGUAUCACGACUACGAAUUAUCCAUGCACUACGGGCCAAGGAUAUUCGUGUUUUCAAUUAUGGUCAUGAUUAUACCGAAUAAUCCCUGGUUAUAAUCAUACCAAGUCUAUCUAUGCACUACGAGCCAAAGAUGACUUUUACCACAUCAUUUGUAACAUUACGGUCAUGAUUAUACCGAAUAAUCCCUGGUCAUAAUCAUACCAAGUCCAUCUAUGCACUACUGGCCAUAGACGACUUUCAACACAAUAUAAGCAUGAGAAUGAUGACAAUGAUAUAUAUAAUGAAUAAACAUAAAUCAUCAGAAUAAUAAGAUAACAUAGAUCUUAGUGAUUUUCAACUUAAUUAUCCAGAGUCCAAAUUGAUAACAUAAUAAUAGAUGAAGCACAAACUAUUAAGUAUAUUCUAAUCCUUUCAGGACUUUUCACCAUUUAAUGAUAAACUGAAUAAACGAAUAAUAAUAUCUUACCAUAAUAUGAAAGAAAAUGAUAUUCUUUUUAUCAUAAAAAUGAUACCCUCUUACCACAAUAAUGAUAUCCCUUACCUUAGCAUGUGACUUGAUUCUGCUUUCUGUGAAAUUGAUCAACUUAAACAAUGCUUGCAUUCUUUAUCUACACUUGCAGUAACAUUACACUCAAUAGAAAUACUCACAAUAUUAUACUCACAAUAUUGAAGAAAAAGAAUUCUAUAUUUUUAGUGUAGUGAUGGUGUGUGUUUAGUUACUCAACCGAGCAACCUAUUUAUACUAAAAAUUUAGUAAACAACUGCCACACCUGCUUUGACAAAAUAACCAAAUGGGGUAUAAAAUAAUGGUAGUGGAAUUUAUGGUCCCACAAAGAAAAUUAAAUCAACUUGUACACGUUUUAACAAAAUUUGUUCAAUAAUAGAGUUGUGGUCCAUACUACUUUAGAAAAAGUAGAGUGUCGGCAAGUCCUGCCAAACAUACUUUUGUAAAAAGAAAAUAAUUGAACAAACAUCUCUAUAUUGUACUUAUCUUUAAUCAACACCUUUUAUUCAUCAAUUAUUUACACAUUUUAAAUCUUUCAACAAUUAUACACAAUUAUUUAUUAAAACUCACAAUACUGUCAACUGGUUUAAUUAUAUCAUAUCAAAUAAUAUGAGUCACUGUGCAAUAACUAUGACAAUUAUUGAAUAAAAGACUGAUUGACUUCUUACGUAAUUAAGAAUCAAUAAUAUAAAUAACUGUGCAAUAACUACUGUGACAAUUAUUGAAUAAAAUACUGAGUGGCUUCUUACGUAAGAAUCAAAUCAAUAUCUUUAAAUUUUUAUUAAAAGUAAGGAUCAACAUCAAAUCAUAUGUAUCUCGAAUAACAUAUAAACCAACUAAUAAUUCAUUAUUCAUUUAAGUUGUCUUUAUUUAUCGUAUAAAAUCAUUAUUCAUAUUCCAAAAUUUUAGAAGUGAAUAAUAAAACUUGAGAAAUAUACAACCUCAUAUAUGACAAUCUAUUAUUCUGAUAUUAUCACCAUUUUUACUUUAACAAAAAUAUUAUUUUUGUUUUUAUCAUAACUCAUUCGUUACUAGUGCGUUUACAUCCCGACACCUCAUGAGCUUACUAACACUUCUAAAAUAUUUUAAAAAAAUAUGAUUCUGAAUUUUCCAAACAAAUUUCAUAUUUUUCAGAUUAUCUAACAAUUUUCUAUAAUUAUUUCUAUUUAUAAAAAAUAUCAUUUAAUAGCUUCAAAAUAGAAAUACUAACUUUACAUACUUUUAUAUCAUUAAAACAUUAUCAAUAUUAAUCUUACAUUAUUAUAAUAUUUUUCAGCAAAAAUCAUAAUUUUCCACCAUUCAUAGAAUUUUCUAUGAAUUUCUUCUAUUUUCAAACUAACUAUAAAUAGUUUAAAAAUAUAAUAAUUACUUCUGCUUUUCAAUAAUUUAUCAAAAUUUUACAGAAAUUCUAAGAUGAUAUUAUAAGCAUUCUGUAAAAAUAUUUCAACCAAAAUAAUUUUUCUGUUAAAUUAAUUAUAAACUCCAAUAUUCAGAAAUUUCAAUAAUUCACAAUAAUUAGCACUUUUAUCAGAAAAAAAUACAGAUCUUAUGUCCUUCCAUGUAAAAUUUAAUUCUCUACAACUUUUUAGAAGAAAGUUUUCCCAAAUUUUGACUCUAACAUAGAGAGAAAGGCUUACCGAAAUAUUCUGUUUGAUAAUUUUCGAACCAGCCACCUUACGAAAUUCACAACAGAUUAUAUAUUAAUCUUUAAUGGUUCAAAAUUUGUGGACAUAUACUCAACUUAUAUAUGCAUAACAUAUCCGAAAAUCACAACGAUCCAACGGUCGGAUUAAAAAUUAUAACUCACGCAAUAAAGCUUAAUAAAACUGAUUUUUUGGACUAUAAGUUCUUCGGACCAAUUUCACUCAAACUGUCACCACGAAGAAUCUACAAAGAAUUUUUGGGUGAUUCAAAUUUCUGCAUUUAGCUUACUUCCAUGGCUUUAUUUUGAUAUAUAGCUCAUCUCCUAACUCAUUAUACACAAAGAGUUAUGGAUUUUACAAAAUCAAGUAGUAAACUAAUUUUUAUGAAAAUUUCCAGAUUUUUCUUUUCAUUUGAUUUCUUGAUUUCUCUUACUUGAUUCAUGCUUAUACAAGUUUAAAACAUACAAUACAUACCUAAGUAUGUACUCUUUACAUAAAAUCCAUAUAAACUAAAAUCUAAGAAUAAAUCAAAGAUUUUUUUAGAAAUACCUUUUCUUCUUCUCCUUCUUUCUCUCUUCUCUUCCUUCCUCUCUCUCUCUCUCUCUCUCUCUCUCUCUCUCUCAUUCUUCUGAUUUCCCGUGACUAACAAAAUGGGUGGGAGUACUUCAUAUUUUUCUCGUUCCUUUUAUUUUGUUUUCUAUCUUUUCUCUCUCUCUCUUUUUCUUCCUCUUUUCCCUUAUUUUCUUCCUUUCCUUUUCUCUUUUCUUCUACCUAUUUUGUCUACGGGAGGAAGUGAGAAAAUGCAAAUGUAAAGUGCUGAACAUUUGGCCUACUUAGCCAAAAUAAAUGGCCAACAUCCUUGCCCCACCAAUAAAAGAA
RNAcentral lists this long non-coding RNA (7688 nucleotides) under Panax ginseng (ginseng). RNAcentral describes it as "long non-coding RNA (PGIN_LNC000796)". Lineage: Eukaryota; Viridiplantae; Streptophyta; Magnoliopsida; Apiales; Araliaceae. The record is from RNAcentral.